Molecule: ribosomal RNA, 406 nt
Filed under: uncultured bacterium
Lineage: Bacteria
Description: partial 16S ribosomal RNA
Rfam family: Bacterial small subunit ribosomal RNA
Source: RNAcentral
GACGAACGCUGGCGGCGUGCCUAAUACAUGCAAGUCGAACGAGCGGCGGACGGGUGAGUAAUGUCUGGGAAACUGCCCGAUGGAGGGGGACAACUACUGGAAACGGUAGCUAAUACCGCAUAACAUCAGAUGUGCCUAGAUGGGAUUAGCUAGUAGGUGGGGUAAUGGCUCACCUAGGCGACGAUCCCUAGCUGGUCUGAGAGGAUGAACAGCCACACUGUGACGGAGACACGGUCCAGACUCCUACGUGAGGCAGCAGUGGGGAAUAUUGCACAAUGGGCGCAAGCCUGAUGCAGCCAUGCCGCGUGUGUGAAGAGGGCCUUCGGGUUGUAAAGCACUUUCAGCGAGGAGGCGUUACUCGCAGAAGAAGCACCGGCUAACUCCGUGCCAGCAGCCGCGGUAAUUC